Molecule: ribosomal RNA, 425 nt
Filed under: uncultured bacterium
Lineage: Bacteria
Description: bacterial SSU rRNA
Rfam family: Bacterial small subunit ribosomal RNA
Source: RNAcentral
UGGGAAUAUUGCGCAAUGGGCGAAAGCCUGACGCAGCAACGCCGCGUGAGCGAUGAAGGUCUUCGGAUCGUAAAGCUCUUUCGGCCGGGACGAAAACCCGCCAUUCUAAUCAGUGGUGGCUUGACUGUACCGGAAGAAGAAGCACCGGCUAACUCUGUGCCAGCAGCCGCGGUAAUACAGAGGGUGCAAGCGUUGUUCGGAAUUAUUGGGCGUAAAGCGCGUGUAGGCGGCUUGUUAUGUCGGGUGUGAAAGCCCUCAGCUUAACUGAGGAAGUGCGCCCGAAACUGGCGAGCUUGAGUGCCGGAGAGGAUAGCGGAACACCCGGUGUAGAGGUGAAAUUCGUAGAUAUCGGGUAGAACACCAGUGGCGAAGGCGGCUAUCUGGACGGACACUGACGCUGAGACGCGAAAGCGUGGGGAGCAAAC